This 1616-nucleotide long non-coding RNA is filed under the name Ananas comosus (pineapple). RNAcentral describes it as "long non-coding RNA (ACOM_LNC001867)". Lineage: Eukaryota; Viridiplantae; Streptophyta; Magnoliopsida; Poales; Bromeliaceae. The record is from RNAcentral.
AUAAAUUGAAUAGGUUAUACAUGUUGGACUUGGAAAUUGAAUUAGGAGAAAACCUACGAUUUGGACCUGUCACUUGAUUAAACUGCCUGAUUUCGCUCCAGGAGCCGUUAUUAAAUUGUACUGUCGCGGUAUUUUCGAGACGAGUACUCCAGGUAGUUUGGAGUAUAUCUACACUCGUGCUGUUUCGCCGAGGGGAUUUUACAGGGUCGUUCAGGCUGUUCCGGACUGUAGGGUGCCGUUGAGGUUGACGGUGGACCCGUAUCGCCUAUUUGGCGUCUGAUUGUGCCGAGGGCACGUUACUUGUUGGUUGUUAGACCAGUUAGAGUCGAUUUCUUGACUUUGGCUUUUCAGAGCCUAUUUGAGCUCGACAGAGAUACGCUGCAUACUCGGUUGGGUAGCGCCCACGAGUUCCACUCCGGAGUCAGGUUUUGUGCUUUCGCUUUGGUGUCGCUCAUGCCAGUUGAACUUGCUAUCCACGGACCAGUUAGUGUGGAUAAAGCCUGAUAGUCGCAACGGGGCAGGGACGGGUGUAUUCACAGUCCCGGGGAUGAGUAUGCUUACAGUCCCGAUUGGAUUGGGUCAGAGUUGACAUUUCCUACAGUUGGUUAGUGUAGAGCAUGAUAGUGUAGUGAUCGAUAGCGGUAGAGUUUAUUUCCUGCUUUUCUGACUACUCUUGCUCCCUUCUGUAGACUUAGUGGGUGGACCGAUGUUGUUUUGGGCGGUACCCACUGAGGACUACUUGUUUUUACAGUAGUUCUCACGCCCAGUUGUUACCUAUGUUUUUGCAGAGCCACAGGUUCCGGCUGCUGCACCGUCCGCGGACCAGGAUCGAGGCAAGGGCGUCGCGAGUUAGAGCCCUACCCGACGUGCUGAGCUAGAGGUGCCCCUACUGCAGGUAGAUGUUUUGUUUCGAGUUUAUGUACAUAGUUGACUUAACUCGCCAGUGCGAGUAGCUCUGUAUUUUAUUUUUGGACUAUGUAUAUGAAACUCAGUUUGUUUAGCUUCUAUUUUCUCUAGCAGCUCUCUACUACUGUUCGUAGUAGUGUUUGAUUUACAGGUAUAGCUGUCGCUUCGUAUACAGGGAAAAUUUCUUUGUAUACGGCGGAUUUGUCGGCGUGUCUGGGGAACGAGACAACCGGGGCGUGACAGAUUAAGUUGGUAUCAGAGCUUUGCUAUAGGUCGUUGGGACCUAGGAAACCUAAGUUUGGCAAACCUUAGGAAAGUAAGACGCGAGAGGCGUAAUUUAUUACGAAAGUCAAUGAUUAUCUGUUCUAACUCCUCCUAGAGUGGGGUGAGUGACUGAAGGAGUUCCUGUUUUGGCCUGAGAAAUUAUGUUGGCUGCAGACGGCAUAAUUUUGGAGGAAAACAGGGACCGCCUUCCAGACUUUCGUUCAUUGGGUCGAGAGUGUUGCGUUGUAUCUGACCCCGAUUUGUUCCUUUCAGCUAUGUAUCGUCGCCGAGGUCGACCGUCGUUGCGAGAGCGUGCCCAGUUGGCGCGGGAUCGUGCGGGAUCCCUUGAGAGACCUGAGCAGAUGGAGCAGAGUACUCGACAGGAGCAGGGUGACAGACCGGAGGCGAGUGCACCCCCUGUUAUGGAGCCGAGUGCGCGACCUGAG